AGAUCUUUGCAUUGUCCCUGGGCUUUAAUGGGUUUUCUCUAUAAAUGUCUAUUCUUCCAAUAGAUAUCUGAUGAGGUGGUACCACACUCAGAUGCACAGAAUAAUUAUUUGUCUCUCUGGAAUCCAGAAUGCAGGAUGAAUACGGCGAUUAGAUUAAAGGUGUCUAAAAUGCCAGAUGCACCUAUCUCAUGCUACUUCAACUGGAUUAUGACCAGUGUUCUCCAGCAGUCUGAAGCUGCUUUUGACGACAGUUCUGGAAAAUGAAAAAGUCGUGGAAUGUGUGGGAACCAAGAGCCUGGGACACUACUAAACUGUCAUAACUUGAAAACUGUGUCAUCCGUGAAAUAACACAUGCCCCAGUUUAUAUUGCACUGUUUAGAUUAAAACAUAAACUGUAGCACAUGGAAAUUUCUUCCUAUGCACUGUGUGCCAGUGCCUAGGAUUAAAGCUGG
Molecule: long non-coding RNA, 452 nt
Filed under: Cyanistes caeruleus (blue tit)
Lineage: Eukaryota; Metazoa; Chordata; Aves; Passeriformes; Paridae
Description: lncRNA (ENSCCEG00000020169.1)
Source: RNAcentral